UACGUAGGGUGCAAGCGUUGUCCGGAAUUAUUGGGCGUAAAGGGCUCGUAGGCGGUCCAUCACGUCGGGAGUGAAAAGCUGGGGCUUAACCCCAGUCCUGCUUCCGAUACGGGUGGACUAGAGGUAGGUAGGGGAGAACGGAAUUCCUGGUGUAGCGGUGAAAUGCGCAGAUAUCAGGAGGAACACCGGUGGCGAAGGCGGUUCUCUGGGCCUGUGCUGACGCUGAGGAGCGAAAGCGUGGGGAGCGAACAGG
Molecule: ribosomal RNA, 253 nt
Filed under: uncultured bacterium
Lineage: Bacteria
Description: partial 16S ribosomal RNA
Rfam family: Bacterial small subunit ribosomal RNA
Source: RNAcentral